UAGUGAUAUUCACCUGCUGUACCUACUUUGUUUAUUUCGAAUUUGACCUCUAGCCAAAUGUCACGAACAAUAUAUUAUAUACAUGAAGGUCAUUGUUGUAUAUAUAUAUAUAUCACAUGCAGCGUCGUCUGUUUGUUUUGUUCCAAUGAGCAGACGACACAAAAACGUGACACAAAAGGAAAAAAAAGUGUGCGAAAUUCAAAUAUCAUGUGCGCUAUCCCCGAAAACGAAAUAUUCCAUGGAUUUGUCUCCGACUAUAGCAAAGGGCUUGCACGUACGUGAGUUUUUACUUUGUCGAAAGUGUGAAAACAGAAUAAUUAGUUAUUACACUUAUAAAUUAACGUACAAUCAAUUAGUUGUGUUUGAUUGAUUCGGGAUGAGUAAACAAAGUUACCAAAUAGCUAGUGGAACUGUAUAAAGGUGAUUUGAGGAUUAUGACAGGAUGCGUUAAACAGAUGCAACAAUUACCAAAUAAAUAACGAAGAAGGAGCUACAUAAUGUUCCUGUGUCAAAAAUGUGGAUGUGACGUGAAUGGAAGAGAAACGCAUAUCAGUACUAUAUAUAUGCCUUUUGUGAAUGAUGUUGGAUGUUUUUGUGAGCUCGUAAAGCUUUUAUCAUCGACUAUUGAUUGAAAAAAAGUACAUUGUUAAUAACCA
Molecule: long non-coding RNA, 656 nt
Organism: Copidosoma floridanum
Lineage: Eukaryota; Metazoa; Arthropoda; Insecta; Hymenoptera; Encyrtidae
Source: RefSeq, a predicted model, not a curated record